This is a long non-coding RNA of Xiphophorus maculatus (southern platyfish), 1915 nucleotides long. RefSeq lists it as uncharacterized. Lineage: Eukaryota; Metazoa; Chordata; Actinopteri; Cyprinodontiformes; Poeciliidae. The transcript has 3 exons. The record is from RefSeq and is a predicted model, not a curated record.
AAAAUUGUGUUUUUGCUGAUUAUUUACAAAAUAACUCGGUCUCAAUCAGAUUGGCUAUGUAAAUAUAGAUUUUCAAGUUUGGCCACAGAUUCUUAUUUAGAUCUCAUUUAGAUACUUUGUGCACUUUGAACACAUUGAAAUGCUACCUCUGGCUGGCAGUAUCUUUAAGGUUGUUGUACUGCUGAAAGGUGAACCUCCAACCCUGUCUUAAGUUUUUUGUGACUCCAGUCAUCCUCCUAAUAGUUCUGAUCAGCUUCCCUGUCCCCACAACACUAAGCAGCCACUAUCAUGUUUUAUCAUGGUGAUGGUGUGGUCAGGGUGAGGUCAGCAUUGCUUUUCUGCCACACAUUGCAUUUUGCAUGUGUGUGAGCUGUUUUAGUUUGGUUUCAUCUGACCAGAGCAUGUUCUUCCAUAUGUUGGUCUUCUUAUGCUCAUCUUUUAACCAUGCCAUUCUUCUUGCCACCUUUUGAUAAAGACUGGAGUGUACAACCAAUAAUUGUAAAAGCCAUCAGAUUCUUCCAUUGAGGGACUAUCAGGCAUUGUUAUAGCCAUUCAUAACUGACUUGUAGCAAUAUGCUGUAAAACUGCCAGCAGAGCUUUAACUGGGGGAAUAUGGAGAGCUAGGACUGGUAGUACAAGCACAACAUGUACAAAGAAAUCUGAGUGAGUGAGAGUAAUAAAGACCAAAAGAGAGAAGGUGAGAAAUUUGACUCAUCAUGAAACAUUGACAUAUGGUAAGCAGAGGGGGGUAAAAUAAAUACCACUGUUCCAAUCAAAAAAAAAAACCAGGCCACUUGUAUUUCAAUCUAGGCUUCAUGCUGGCUUUACCCUGGUGCUGCCAGGUUGUGCCCCUCUGUGCCUCAUGCAAAGGAGGCCAUGUUGCAUCAAGCGCAAGGAGGGAGCCAGCAGCCAUAAACACUCAUGCUUGAAGAGAUCGUAAUGAUUCUGACAACACAAGCACAGACUGUAAACUGGAACAAGAUGCCAAACUCAGCUCAUGCCAGUUACUCACACCCAUGUCUUGGCUUGAAGAGAGGUUCAGUGAGGGGGAAAGGAAGGAACUAGAUUCAAAUUCAGAUUUGCCAUAAGGAAGAUGGCUUGGAGAGAGAACAUGUUCCUUUGACAAGGCAUAAACAGAUGGACAGAAACCUGUCAUUAAUCACUUUGGAAAAGACAUGCUUACACCUGUCUUUGAAUGCCAGCAGAUGACAGACUGUGUAGGUCGUUUCCAGCAUGCUGUAGUAGGGGAUAAGGACAGUGUGUCUGAAACACACACUUUUUAACAAAAACAAAAAGAAAUCUUCAAUAUUAUUUUAAAAGGGUGAAUUUCAAUGAAUUAGCAAAGUUUUACAAUAAACACUUGAAUGGCAGCAUGCAUGUGUUAAAUAAAUUUAGGGGACCCCCUAAGAUUGUCUAAACCUGCGAGUGAUAAAUAAAACUUCAAAUCUCUGAAGCUCAUGCUGGAAGCGAACAAAGCCUUGCAUCAACCUUUCUGCCACAAAAAAACUGGGAGAUGAAAUAUCUUAUUUUAUGUAUAUUUCUAUUACUGAGACUUACAUGACCCAUGUGAGGGCAUUCGCUUGGCAACCACACAAGGCCAGCUGUUAAAAAUGGAGCACAACCUCCCUGGCAGAGAACACAAUGUCCCGGGGAGUUCAGGGGGACAUGUGCGGUCUGGUUACUGUCCAGCCACCUCUGAUUAUGUCUCCACUCACACUUCUCCCUGCUCUAGAUACACUUUCCCUUAGUAACGUCAGGGGCUGAAAUGUUUUUGCAGCAGUUAUGAAACUCAAGCGCUCUGAUCUGAAGUAUGAGUGGAGUCCUUUCUCUUUCAUCUCUCGUGCUCUCGUGGCCUAUGACUACAGUGUUGAAGUGAAAUAUGAAGGGUUACUUGCUUUGUACUUUAAUCAUUCAA